This is a long non-coding RNA of Raphanus sativus (radish), 777 nucleotides long. RefSeq lists it as uncharacterized. The transcript has 4 exons. Lineage: Eukaryota; Viridiplantae; Streptophyta; Magnoliopsida; Brassicales; Brassicaceae. The record is from RefSeq and is a predicted model, not a curated record.
AUCAAAAGACACUCUUCUCCGAGAAAUUCCCACCUAAUCUCACUUCUCAUUUGCAAAAAUCACCACAGCUUCUCUCAACGCAUAACUCUCUUUUCAAAAAUCAUUUUGCAAUUGGUUGUUCUUGCUAUUUUGAUUUGGUUAAUAGCUUUAGCCGUUUAGGUUUGAGUUUAUGUUUUCAAAUCGAUUCGCAGUAUAUCUCUGCGAUUUUCAAUUAAAGUAGGCUUUUUAAAUAAAAAUCGAUUUGGGGUUAAUUGCUUAUGUCAACCUUUGCGUCUUCAAUCUAUCCAGGUAUGCAUCCACCAGAAAGAGGUAGUUUCCCGGCAAAGAGCUACUAUCAAAAUUUUAGAAGAACGCGAAUCCUUGUGCUCCACCGGGCUUUUCACUGCGAAGCCCCGAAGUGGUACUACGAGCACCUACACAACGAACCAGCCAACUCUCCACCCUGAGAAGAAAGAUGGUCUCUUUGCUAUCUCCGACUACCUUUGAGAAGGUGUUUAAGUGUUUGUUUGACUAUCUCGAUAGACUUUUGUGAUGGUGCUGCCGAGGAACUUCUCUAUAUGUCUAUUGGUUGCUGAAGAAGAACGGCUGUGAGAAGAGUUCGAGAGGGAGGGUAGAACGCUUCCUCCUAAAGUGGACACUCAAGUGCUUGAUCUUCUUUCCACAGCUUGAACUUUUGUUAUGUUUUUAGUUUUCACUUUUAAGUUUAGCUUCUUGUUUGUGUACUAGAAGCUCAAAAUCGACAUUUCUGUUAUGUUUUUGACAAUUUCAGAUUUCUAA